Molecule: ribosomal RNA, 880 nt
Filed under: Thaxterogaster croceocoeruleus
Lineage: Eukaryota; Fungi; Basidiomycota; Agaricomycetes; Agaricales; Cortinariaceae
Description: partial large subunit ribosomal RNA
Rfam family: Eukaryotic large subunit ribosomal RNA
Source: RNAcentral
UUCCCCUAGUAACUGCGAGUGAAGCGGGAAAAGCUCAAAUUUAAAAUCUGACGGUCUUUGGCUGUCCGAGUUGUAAUCUAGAGAAGCAUUAUCCGCGCUGGACCGUGUACAAGUCUCCUGGAAUGGAGCGUCAUAGAGGGUGAGAAUCCCGUCUUUGACACGGACUGCCAGGGCUUUGUGAUGUGCUCUCAAAGAGUCGAGUUGUUUGGGAAUGCAGCUCAAAAUGGGUGGUAAAUUCCAUCUAAAGCUAAAUAUUGGCGAGAGACCGAUAGCGAACAAGUACCGUGAGGGAAAGAUGAAAAGAACUUUGGAAAGAGAGUUAAACAGUACGUGAAAUUGCUGAAAGGGAAACGCUUGAAGUCAGUCAUGUCAGUCAGGGAUCAGCCUUGCUUUUGCUUGGUGUACUUUCUGGCUGAUAGGUCAGCAUCAAUUUUGACUAUUGGAAAAAGAUUAGGGGAAUGUAGCAUCUUCGGAUGUGUUAUAGCCCUUGGUUGCAUGCAAUGGUUGGGAUUGAGGAACUCAGCACGCCGCAAGGCUGGGUUUUUUAACCACGUACGUGCUUAGGAUGCUGGCAGAAUGGCUUUAAUCGACCCGUCUUGAAACACGGACCAAGGAGUCUAACAUGCCUGCGAGUGUUUGGGUGGAAAACCCGAGCGCGUAAUGAAAGUGAAAGUUGAGAUCCCUGUCAUGGGGAGCAUCGACGCCUGGACCAGACCUUUUGUGACGGUUCCACGGUAGAGCAUGUAUGUUGGGACCCGAAAGAUGGUGAACUAUGCCUGAAUAGGGUGAAGCCAGAGGAAACUCUGGUGGAGGCUCGUAGCGAUUCUGACGUGCAAAUCGAUCGUCAAAUUUGGGUAUAGGGGCGAAAGACUAAUCGAAC